ACCAGGUCAGGACACGGUAAGGAUUGACGGACUGAAGGCUCUUUCUCGAUUCCGUGGAAAGUGGUGCAUCGGCCGUUUUGGUUGGUGGAUCGAUCCGUCUGGUUAAUUCCGUUAACGAACGAGACCUCGGCACUCCGAAUAGCGCGGCGGACGUCGCGGCCUCCGGGCCGUCUUCCGCACGAGCUUCUUAGAGGGACCGUCCCCCGCCGGGGAAGGAGGUGCGAGGCAACGACAGGUCUGUGAUGCCCUUAGAUGUUCUGGGCCGCACGCGCAUUACACUGACGCGUCCAACGGGUGACUCCCGACCCGAAGGGGCCGGGGAAUCCGCAAGGCGCGUCGUGAUGGGGAUUGAACGUUGCAAUUGUUGUUCACGAACGAGGAAUUCCUAGUAGGCGCGGGUCAUCAACCCGCGCCGAUUACGUCCCUGCCCUUUGUACACAC
RNAcentral lists this ribosomal RNA (441 nucleotides) under uncultured eukaryote. RNAcentral describes it as "bacterial SSU rRNA". It matches the Rfam family "Eukaryotic small subunit ribosomal RNA", at positions 1217 to 1669 of the family's 1831-position model. The record is from RNAcentral.